RNAcentral lists this transfer RNA (65 nucleotides) under Tenebrionidae sp. 1 ACP-2013. Its description in RNAcentral is "tRNA-Ile". The record is from RNAcentral. Lineage: Eukaryota; Metazoa; Arthropoda; Insecta; Coleoptera; Tenebrionidae.
AAAUAAGGUGCCUGAACAAAGGAUUAUUUUGAUAGAAUAAAUUACGUGGAAAAUCCACUCUUAUU